GGUCCUGAGCAUUUCUGCCUCGCACCCACCACCAGAUGGACAAACUCUCCAUGGAGACCAGCUUUAACAGGGAACCCUAGCCCUGUUACCAGAAAAUGGGCUGGUCCCUUUAAGACCAGAACUUUCUGGGCACAGACUGCUGGCAGGGUAUGGGGGUAAAAACUGAGCCUGGCCAGCUAGUCAGGUGACCGGAAGGGGGCAAGCCAGAACUAUAAAAACCCUGGGCUUGGUGGCAGUUGGGGUCAGCAGGCAAGGGGGAAGGAGUUUGUGCAUAAGAGUUCCACAGAAAGGCUUGGCUACCAGUCCAGCUGCUAUGGGACAGGAACUCCUGAGGACUCUCAGAGAAGUGGCGGCAGCCCCAGAAGAAGGACUGUAACAGAGGGUGGGAAGCAGAAGCACAGAGCUCUGAAAAAAUCUCCGACUUGCCCCUAGAGGGCUGGCAAGCAGGGAUGUGACUAGGAGCCAGGACACCUGGACUCUGUCCCUGCUCUUGAGUGAGUGGAGUACUGAACGUGGUGUAUCCUGGGAAGCUGGAGGACUGCAAAUUUCUCAUUUUAUUGCUAUGAAGCAGACUGAAGUUACGUUAACACAAGGUUGGAGACCACUGGCUUAGAGAGAGCAAAAGGAACAGAACUGCAAAGAGAAAAGCCACAAUACUGCUGAAGGACAGGGAGUGUAGCUGACAGCGCAAGGCUUUCUGCCUCUCUUCAAAGCUCCAGCGAUGCCUCCCCAGAUAAACAUGCUGUGACUGGCACUCUAUAUUUAGUCAGUUAUUUCUUAUGUGUGGAAGGAGGGCAUGUCAAGAGUCAAGAUAAAAUUGCAAAGGUGAGCACACAGGCUGGGAAAAGGAAUCGUUGUCCUAGCAGGCCCUUGCCACCUGGUUAUCCCAGGAAAUGCAGCAUCACCUAUUUUAGAGUUCUCUGCUCCCCUUUCAAUGUGGGUAAUGUAAGACAUGGGCAGGGAGCCAGUGGUCACUUGUAAGGGAGCUAUGUUACCAGGACCCGGAUCCAGCAGGCUGGAAUGCUUGAUUGCUAGGGAACUCCUUAUGGGUGACAAGCUGACACUUGACGCCCUUCAAUGAACCCACAGGGCAUUUUCAUAUGUGCUCAGGGGGUGGUGGUGGGGGCUUUAAUUAAAGUGGCUCCAAAAGCUGCUC
This is a long non-coding RNA of Alligator sinensis (Chinese alligator), 1156 nucleotides long. RefSeq lists it as uncharacterized. The record is from RefSeq and is a predicted model, not a curated record. Lineage: Eukaryota; Metazoa; Chordata; Crocodylia; Alligatoridae. The transcript is spliced from 3 exons.